CCCUUAGAUGUUCUGGGCUGCACGCGCGCUACACUGAUGCGCUCAACGAGUUUUAACCUUGCCUGGAAAGGUUGGGUAAUCUUUUUAAAACGCAUCGUGAUGGGGAUAGAUUAUUGCAAUUAUUAAUCUUCAACGAGGAAUUCCUAAUAAGCGCGAGUCAUCAGCUCGUGCUGAUUACGUCCCUGCCCUUUGUACACACCGCCCGUCGCACCUACCGAUUGAAUGGUCCGGUGAAAUCCUCGGAUCGAGCCGUGGGGCAACUCCGGUUCGAGAAGUUGAUUAAACCUUACCAUUUAGAGGAAGGUGAAGUCGUAACA
RNAcentral lists this ribosomal RNA (317 nucleotides) under uncultured eukaryote. Its description in RNAcentral is "partial 18S ribosomal RNA". It matches the Rfam family "Eukaryotic small subunit ribosomal RNA", at positions 1470 to 1796 of the family's 1831-position model. The record is from RNAcentral.